Molecule: long non-coding RNA, 4378 nt
Filed under: Populus tremula
Lineage: Eukaryota; Viridiplantae; Streptophyta; Magnoliopsida; Malpighiales; Salicaceae
Description: long non-coding RNA (PTRE_LNC000793)
Source: RNAcentral
AAAGCUGCAACAAACACUGCCCGCCACUGUCAUAACCACCGUGAACCAUCGUCGGCUUCCUCUCCACUGCCACCAACAUCACUGUGAGCGUCAGCAGGUCAGCCUUCCUCCCCUUCCCCAUUUCCUUCUUUUCUUCACUGCACCGUCUCCACUGUUCUACAUGAACAGUGGAGAGUGAAUUAAUUCAAAAUUAAUAUAAUAUUAAAGGAUAAAUUUGAAUAAAAAAAAUCUAUAAAAAAAUUAAUCAAAAGAUAGAAAAAAAAAUUAUCUCCUUCACUAUUGAUAUUUACAUGAACAAUAUUUAUAUUUACAUAAAGAAAGUUCUUUUAGUAGAGUUGCUAGAGUAGAUAGUGAAUACAUUAAUUCAAAAAAUUAAAAUAACACAUUAAAAUAAGCAUAAACAGUAAAAAAAUUGUUUCGGGGUUUAAUCACAAAAAAUUUCAUUAUUGAAAGGAGGGAGAAAUCAUUUGGGAAGCAGCUGCUCAGCCCAUAGAAUCACACAAACAAGCCCCCAAGACAUCUAAGCAUUCAAGCUAAAGCUAAAUAAAAGAGCAGGAAAACUGAAACCCUAUUAUUCAUUGGGCUACAACAUGCUCGACCUCUCCUACUUGUACUGGAAGGAGAAAUUACUGAUAUAGUGAUAUUGGUGUCAAUUUCAAGCUGUAAUACAAACUAGUCAGAUUCAGAAUCCAAGUACAUUCUAUAAGCAUUUCUGUCUGAAGAGUAAUAACCUUCUACCAAACUAUCAACUUGAAAACCAAGUUUCUUGUAUAGAGUCAUAGCUGCAGUCCUCAGGGGAUCAACGUGCAGUGAUAUACGUUGAACCUUUCUCUCUUUGCAUUUCUCAAUUGCUGCUUUAAGCAAUGCCUCUCCAUGACCUUGCCUUCUAUAGUUCUCCUUCACUGUUUUAUACUUGCCAUUUACAAAGAAAAACACCCAUGUAAGAAAUCAAGUCCUGGCCAAUCAGAUAACAAGAAAAAGAAAUUAUACUAAAUGGAUUUUAGUGGGUUUUGCCUAAUCAAUCCCUCUAUUCAGAGAAAAGAAAACCAUGCCUCUUUGAGUACUUUCAUCAAACAGGUUAUGGGUUUGUUAAACAGCAAAAAGAGAAAAAUACAACCCGAAAACAAUGAGGAGAGAGGAAGAAAUAAGUAAUGGGUAUUGAAACCUGCAAGUUUUGUGAUAGAAGCACACAAAGAAGAGGGCCAGGAAUACAUGACAUAGCCAGCAACUUCUCCAUUUAGUUCUGUAUAUAGAAGCCCUGAAUUCUUCUUUCUAAGCUCUUCAUCAAAUGAUCUAGCAAGUGAUUCAUGUUUCGGGAAGAUCUUUCUUUCUAUCUUCACAAUCUCUCCCACAACGUUGGCCCAGUUGGUUGACUUUUUUUGCAACUCCACUAUGACCUCACUCCCCAUGCUUCAGGUGAUAUUUUGCUCUUGGGUUCCGCUGGGACAAAUUGUUGUCUCGGUUUUAACUUAAAAUAAUCGUUUAAUUUAAAACCUAGCACAAAUCAGACCUCUUGAUUAACAUGCUCGAUAUUGCCAAAUUUAAUAACAAUGCUUUAAAUAAAAAUGUGGAUAUGAUAGCAGGUCGUAUGCAUUGCAUAGGUGGCCUGCUAUGUGACAUGACAUGGACUUUGUUAAAUUUUUUCAAACAUAAAAAAAAAAAAAAAACCUCAAGCAAUGAUAAUAUUUUAAAAAAAAGUAAGAGAAAUUUAGGAUUUGAAUAGAUUUAAUAAACUUGUUUGAUUUAAUAAUAUGAUUAUAUAAAAAAAAGCUAGUGACAAUUAAAAAAACAAAGAAAACAAAAAAUAAUGACUAAUAAAAAAAAUUAAUGCUUGCAAAUAUUAAAAAAAUACUCUUUAAAUAUUCUUAAAAAGUCUCAAUAAUCUUAUUCAAUAACAAAAUAAAAAUUAAAAGAGAAUGAAACAACCUCAUAAAAAAAAAAAAAACUCAAUUACUAGCAAAUCAGAUAUUGAAUUAGAAAAAAAUCAAUUUUAAACAGGAUAAAAAUCUUGACUCUAGUUAGCAUAACAAACUCAUAGCCUACUUGUGAGGUCAAAAUAACCACAUAUAAAUUUUUUUGAAUAAAACAAGUUAACUCUCAAGCAAACUAAAUAAUAAAAGACGAAACUGAACAUUAAUCAAUAAAAAAUGUCAAGAAAAACCCAAAUAAACUUGGAUUAACUCGACUAACUUAUGGCUCGAGAUAUGAGAUUUGGAUAACCCAUAGAAAAAAAAAUGACAAUAAUCACGAAGCUAAAGGCCUAAUAACUUAAUGUCGAAUGAUGAAAUUGAAAACAAUAUUAUUUUUUUAAAAAAAAGAACCUAAAAAACAUCAAAGUCAAAUUAAGCUAAUUUUCAAAACCCGUGACCCGGGUCAAGAGACUAGGUUACCCCGAUAAUACAAACCUAAAAAAAUCAUAAAGUAAAAUUUCCAAUCAUCCAAAAUUAAAAAAUAAAAACAAAUAGAAAUCAAAAGAAUGAGGACCAAAUCUGGUAUAAAUAUUAAAUGAAAUAAAACAAUGAAUUUGAGUGCAUUAAUUUCUUCGUUGAAAGCAAUAGGAUCAACUUAUUUUGAGUGCAUUAAUUUCUUGUUUUUCAAUGGAUGUGCUGCAUCUUGUUGUCGAUUGUUAGUCCUCUUAUUGUGUUUGGCGUACUAUUGAGUAAGCUCUCGCUUCCCCAUCUAAUUCUUGCAUUAUACAACUUCUUGGUCCUUUCAAAAUCUUUGGCAAGGUGAUGCUUCGGUUGCUAUAUAUAUGCAGAAGGAAAUAUCAUUAUUUGAUGAGUUAGCUGCUACUAGUCGACCAAUCUCUCUUGAAGAUUUCAAUUUAUAUGUGGUUCGUGGUCUUUGUUGCUACCCAAUUUUUGAUCCAUGUUUUUGAUAAAUUUUUAAAAAAAACCAAAAAUAGCAAAAAAAAAAAAACAAUGAAAACCCAAAAAAAUGCAUUUUUGAUAUAUUUGCAUUAUUUUUAGCAUUUUCAACGUCAUCUUAGAAAUAUUUUAACGCGUUAAUUUUACAAUCAUUGAUUUUCCUUGUUGAGUCGACGUUGAUAUUGCUCGCUUUCAAAAAUACAAAAAAAUAAGAAAAAAAUUCAAAAUUGACAAAAAAAUAAAGAAGUUGAGGGACCAAUGUGUUUUGGAGACCAAGCCACUUUGCCUAUAAAUAGAGGUCACAACACACAUAAAAAGUGGAAAAAAUUGUCAAGGGGGUAAUUUUGCACAUUUGAAAGCAAAAAAAAAAAAAAACCCCUAAUCCUAAACCCAUUUAAUCUUUCGCCCGCACCCCUUUCUAACAAAAAUCUAGAGAAACUAUUCUCCCCAUGGAUCAGAGUUGUCGCCUCCCUCUUUUGAAGCCAAAGACAAACCAGAAGAUCAAGGCAGCCACCCUUGAUCUCCCUCAUUCCUCUCUCAGCUAGCCAAACAUAUCUUCACCCCCUUUUGCUCUCCCUUCACUCUCUCGGCUACACACAGACCAGCCUUUCCCUCUGCAGCCAGACAACGACAGCAAAAGCCAACCAUUGCUGCCACCAACAGGAGUGAAGACCAUCCAGCAGCGACGGCCUGCUCCCCGAGCAACAACGUCUCAUUCCCCGCUAGCAGCAUCACAGACACGACCAGACUUGCUGCUACCCACUGACACAUGAGACCAGCCCCACAUCGGCUCCUUUCUUCCUCAGGCCAAACACAACGGCAGCCCCCACUGUCUUCUCUCAAUCCCACCGGGACAACAACACCAUAGCAACACCCUAGUGCCACCAUCAGCUCGAGUAUCGCCGAGGCCACCACUAGCAAUCCAAGCACGGCGUAACCGAGCCCGCCAACUAGAUCACCACUUCCAUCUCCGCUGGUCAGACCUGACAAAAUCCUAGCACUUGGCGAUCCCCUUGGUCUUGCCGCCACCUAAAACAAAGAAGAAUGGGAAAGAGAAAGAAAAGAGCAGAUAUGUAGAUAUAAGCAGAUCCAAAACAGAGAAGAAGAGAAAGAAAAACAGAUCUGUGAACAAGAAACAAAAACUAAAAUCAACUGCUUGCUGUGUUUUUUGGUGUUUUGCAGGUCAUCACCGACGAGGAAGGGAAGAGGGGAGGAAGUCGUUCUAGAUCGACCCCUCCCUUGGUUUUUUUCUUGCGGUGGCGCGUGAACCCACCGCUGCCAGUGGCGGUGGUGUGUGGAGAAGACGCGCCGCCACUGUUCCUGCGUUCCCAGAAGUCCUUCUCAACAAUUCCUGAAGUUUUUGGGACUUAUUGUGUAAUUUUUGAAUUGUAUUUGGUAUAUUUAAAUUUUUUGUUAUUUUGGAACAUGUAAAAAUGAUGUAUGUAAGUGUGAGUGUGUGAGUAAACAUACUAAAAGGUGAUGAAUGUGUGUUUGUAUUUUUUUAUGUAUGU